CUUGUGAUUUUGUGCACUCUCUCUACGUGCACUUGGCUGCCUGCAGAGUUUGGGCUGCAGGAAAACUUGGGCGCAGCGGGAGCGGCUCCCCUUCUCCUGCCUGCCUGGGGCUGCUCAGCCGCUCCUCCUCUCUCUCACGACGGCCCCUGCCCUUCCCAGCACAGCGUGUGCCUCCCAGGCCAGCACCGUCGGCAGAGAUUUUUGAAGUUGCUGUUCCGCAUCCAUUCUGCUAUAAUUACACUAGCAUCCCUUGUCCCUGCUGUGCUGCUUCUGAAAAUGUGGCACAAGGAGCACCCGUGAGGACAGGAGAGACCCCCGGAAGGACAGCCUGUCCUGACCUGUUGGCUGUGAGGCUGAGCAAAGCAAGCGUCCCCGGCCCUGCUUUGGCAGCACGCACCGUCCCCUUGGCUCGGAGCGCGGAACCCUGCUCAGCAGCUUCGGUCCGCUCUGGCAGAAGACUUGACUUCUUAUUGGCUGCUACUCCAUCUCGGGAACUUACAGUGAUUGCUGGCGGGAGCUCGUGGCCUCUGUUCUCACACAGAGGUGUGUUCGAGAUGGUAAAAGACAAAGCCGGAGACCCCUUCCGGCCCGGCCACGCCUCAAACACAGUUUUGUAACCCCUUAGCAUUUUCCUCCUUUCUGCAGAGAGCCUAGCAGAGGUGCUCUGAAUGCAGUUAAAUUUUAAUCUAUGCGAAUUUUAACAGAGCCUCGGUUUCCUUAUGUGAUGGAGACAUCUAUUUAUAAUAUUUACCUCCUGGGAAUGUUUGCAAAAUGAAAUGUGAGCCUGUAUGGAACAUGCUUUGUGAACGCAGAUGUUGUAAUUCGGGACUCCUUAGGAAUUGGACUGGAGACUGUCACUCCUAAAGCUGCAAUGUGGCUGGGAAGAGCAGAGGAACUUAUUCAAAUGCACAUUCCCAGGUUCUGUUUCUGGAUUCUGACCACAGGCACACAGUUAGUGACUGAUUCCGGAAGGAGGUAGAAGGAGACGCUUGGCUUACUUUGUUGAUCAAGCAAGGUCUAGCUGGCCUUGAACUCAUGCUGAUCCUCCUGCUUCAGCCUCCUGAUCGCUGGAUCAUGGGCAUGCAGCACCACGCCCAGCUGCAACUGGCUUUUACUGAUGAGAAUUGACAACCUGAGAGGGAUAACACAGAAGAUCACACUGAGAAUUGUUUCAGCUUGUGCAGGCUGCCAUGACAAAAUGCCAUAAACCUUGUGGCUUAAACAACAGGACUUUAUUUCCUCCAAGUUGCGGAGGCUGGGAGUCCGGGUGCCAGCAGGGUUCUCACGAGGCUUCUGUUCUUACCCGGAAGCUCUUGCUGACCAUGGCCACUGUACCCAGGAAGUCCUAUGCAGAGGGACACUGUGAAAAGGUACAUCCAGUAGUCAGUCUCAAAUUGACCUGACGGUUCUUUGCUGGUGAUGUGCACUGUAUCGUAUGUGAGCCUCGAGGUCUUCCUAGUUGACGUCCCUGUUUCCCUCCUUAGAAGUUCUCUCCCUCCCCACAUUCUCUCCCCCGACCUUGCUGCUGUGUACCCAUCCUGUGGGCUUCGGCUUAGACUCCGUGGCUUGGGGAAGCCGCUACCGACUCCCAAGUCAGUGUUAGGUCCCCGGGAUGGCUUUCUGGGCACCCCCGGCUUGUCCCAGCUUAGCAUUUACCGCACUGCAUUGCA
Molecule: long non-coding RNA, 1670 nt
Organism: Chinchilla lanigera (long-tailed chinchilla)
Lineage: Eukaryota; Metazoa; Chordata; Mammalia; Rodentia; Chinchillidae
Exons: 3
Source: RefSeq, a predicted model, not a curated record